Molecule: ribosomal RNA, 187 nt
Filed under: uncultured bacterium
Lineage: Bacteria
Description: partial 16S ribosomal RNA
Rfam family: Bacterial small subunit ribosomal RNA
Source: RNAcentral
GCCUUCAUGAAGCUGGAAUUGCUAGUAAUGGCAGGUCAGCAUACUGCCGUGAAUACGUUCCCGGGCCUUGUACACACCGCCCGUCACACCAUGAGAGUUGGAAAUACCCGAAGCCUGUGAGCUAACAGUAAUGAGGCAGCAGUCGGAGGUAGAGCCAAUGAUUGGGGUGAAGUCGUAACAAGGUAGC